This 89-nucleotide transfer RNA is filed under the name bacterium. RNAcentral describes it as "tRNA-Leu". It matches the Rfam family "tRNA". Rfam says of the family: Transfer RNA (tRNA) molecules are approximately 80 nucleotides in length. Their secondary structure includes four short double-helical elements and three loops (D, anti-codon, and T loops). The record is from RNAcentral.
GGGAGAGUGCUAGAGUGGCUGAAUAGAGCCGUCUUAAAAACGGUAGACCCGUACGCCCGGGUCCGUGGGUUCGAAUCCCACCUCUCCCG